GAUGAACGCUAGCGGCAGGCCUAAUACAUGCAAGACGAACGGUAAGUUGAGUAGCAAUACUUAGCCAAGAGUGUCGUACGGGUGCGUAACACGUAUGCAACCUACCCUAUACAGGAGGAUAGCCUAGGGAAACCUGGAUUAACCCUUCAUAGUAUUAUUGGAUGGCAUCAUUUGAUAAUUAAAACUGAGGUGGUAUAGGAUGGGCAUGCGUCUGAUUAGUUAGUUGGCGGGGUAAUGGCCCACCAAGACGAUGAUCAGUAGGGGUUCUGAGAGAAAGAUCCCCCACACUGGCACUGAGAUACGGGCCAGACUCCUACGGGAGACAGCAGUAGGAAUAUUGGUCAAUGGAUGCAAG
Molecule: ribosomal RNA, 355 nt
Filed under: uncultured bacterium
Lineage: Bacteria
Description: bacterial SSU rRNA
Rfam family: Bacterial small subunit ribosomal RNA
Source: RNAcentral